UCUAACAGAUACGCGAUUUCCUGCCCACCACUAGUCAAAAGCAAUGGCGCUAUGAUUUCCGUCAGGCAUUUAUCGAAACAGUGGUGUGCUUGUAAGUUUAACGAACAGUAAGAGAUCCUGAAGGUUGGAAAUUCCAAAUGGUCAAAAGAAUUUUUACUGAAAAUUGCUGGGCUGAUGAAGAGAACUGCAAGCAAGGAAAGUGUGUGAGGAGGAUUGGCUGCGAGGAAGACAUUGGAAAUGGUAGCAAGCCAACAAAUAUGAAAAAAUGCUUGCAAAGAGAACGUGGAGCUCUAUUGUUGGAAUUUGAUGAAAACAUAUGAAGUCGGUCCCUGAUGGAAGACAUUCCUUUGACCAAGAGAAGAACUACAGAAGUGACACUGUGCUACAGGCUUUAAAGGGCAAAGAAACUUUAUUUGUUAAAAGGAUGAAGCAGGCUAGAGAAUGUUUACCAUUUUCACCGAUAACUGCUAAGGAUGUGAGCCAUUCCAUGCUGCGAAGCCAUGGGAUAUGACAGAAGGGUUUACUACGAGUUUCUGAAACUCGUUGAGAGGCAGUGUUGCAUUAAUACUUGGGCUGCUACUAUGUACUGUUACUUGUGUAUUGUUGAGGGAAAGCAGUGUGCUAGAAGUAACGUAUAUUCAAAGCAGACAUGCAAAUGUGAAAAGGUUGUGCACUUCAAUGUGAGAUUUAAAGCAGAACGUGGAAUGUUACUGAGACAUGAAGGCUCAACUUAAGGAUGUGGUGUAAUCGAAUAAUUUAAUAAUAUGUUGUGAAUUGUGUUUCCUGUGGGAA
Molecule: long non-coding RNA, 792 nt
Organism: Schistocerca gregaria
Lineage: Eukaryota; Metazoa; Arthropoda; Insecta; Orthoptera; Acrididae
Exons: 5
Source: RefSeq, a predicted model, not a curated record